GAGUUUGAUCCUGGCUCAGGACGAACGCUGGCGGCGUGCUCAACACAUGCAAGUCGAACGAAGCACCUUGAUUUGAUUCUUCGGAUGAAGAUCUUGGUGACUGAGUGGCGGACGGGUGAGUAACGCGUGGGUAACCUGCCUCAUACAGGGGGAUAACAGUUAGAAAUGACUGCUAAUACCGCAUAAGACCACAGCACCGCAUGGUGCAGGGGUAAAAACUCCGGUGGUAUGAGAUGGACCCGCGUCUGAUUAGGUAGUUGGUGGGGUAACGGCCUACCAAGCCGACGAUCAGUAGCCGACCUGAGAGGGUGACCGGCCACAUUGGGACUGAGACACGGCCCAAACUCCUACGGGAGGCAGCAGUGGGGAAUAUUGCACAAUGGGGGAAACCCUGAUGCAGCGACGCCGCGUGAGCGAUGAAGUAUUUCGGUAUGUAAAGCUCUAUCAGCAGGGAAGAAAAUGACGGUACCUGACUAAGAAGCACCGGCUAAAUACGUGCCAGCCGCCGCGGUAAUUC
This 517-nucleotide ribosomal RNA is filed under the name uncultured bacterium. RNAcentral describes it as "bacterial SSU rRNA". It matches the Rfam family "Bacterial small subunit ribosomal RNA", at positions 9 to 526 of the family's 1533-position model. The record is from RNAcentral.